RNAcentral lists this ribosomal RNA (498 nucleotides) under uncultured bacterium. RNAcentral's name for it is "bacterial SSU rRNA". It matches the Rfam family "Bacterial small subunit ribosomal RNA", at positions 903 to 1397 of the family's 1533-position model. The record is from RNAcentral.
AAAUGAAUUGACGGGGGCCCGCACAAGCGGUGGAGCAUGUGGUUUAAUUCGAUGCAACGCGCAGAACCUUACCAGGGUUUGACAUGGAAUCGCCGCAGCGAGAGAUCGCUGUUUGAUAGCAAUAUCACGGUUCACACAGGUGCUGCAUGGCUGUCGUCAGCUCGUGUCGUGAGAUGUUGGGUUAAGUCCCGCAACGAGCGCAACCCAUGUUUCUAGUUGCUAACAGGUAAUGCUGAGCUCUCUAGAGAGACUGCCGGGGACAACCCGGAGGAAGGUGUGGAUGACGUCAAGUCCUCAUGGCCCUUACAUCCUGGGCUACACACGUGCUACAAUGGUCGGUACAGUGGGUCGCGAAGCCGCAAGGUGGAGCCAAUCCUCAAAGCCGGCCUCAGUUCGGAUUGGAGUCUGCAACUCGACUCCAUGAAGUCGGAAUCGCUAGUAAUCGUGGAUCAGAAUGCCACGGUGAAUACGUUCCCGGGCCUUGUACACACCGCCCGU